AGCUGGGUUUAGAACGUCGUGAGACAGUUCGGUCCCUAUCUGCCGUGGGCGCUGGAGAAUUGAGGGGGGCUGCUCCUAGUACGAGAGGACCGGAGUGGACGCAUCACUGGUGUUCGGGUUGUCAUGCCAAUGGCACUGCCCGGUAGCUAAAUGCGGAAGAGAUAAGUGCUGAAAGCAUCUAAGCACGAAACUUGCCCCGAGAUGAGUUCUCCCUGAGACUUUAAGUCUCCUGAAGGAACGUUGAAGACGACGACGUUGAUAGGCCGGGUGUGUAAGCGCAGCGAUGCGUUGAGCUAACCGGUACUAAUGAACCGUGAGGCUUAACCUUACAACGCCGAAG
RNAcentral lists this ribosomal RNA (340 nucleotides) under Klebsiella pneumoniae. Its description in RNAcentral is "partial 23S ribosomal RNA". It matches the Rfam family "Bacterial large subunit ribosomal RNA", at positions 2603 to 2925 of the family's 2925-position model. The record is from RNAcentral. Lineage: Bacteria; Pseudomonadati; Pseudomonadota; Gammaproteobacteria; Enterobacterales; Enterobacteriaceae.